RNAcentral lists this ribosomal RNA (460 nucleotides) under uncultured Ferruginibacter sp. RNAcentral describes it as "bacterial SSU rRNA". It matches the Rfam family "Bacterial small subunit ribosomal RNA", at positions 338 to 795 of the family's 1533-position model. Lineage: Bacteria; Pseudomonadati; Bacteroidota; Chitinophagia; Chitinophagales; Chitinophagaceae. The record is from RNAcentral.
CCUACGGGCGGCUGCAGUAAGGAAUAUUGGUCAAUGGACGAAAGUCUGAACCAGCCAUGCCGCGUGAAGGAUGAAGGCCCUCUGGGUUGUAAACUUCUUUUAUCUGGGACGAAAAAAGCUCUUUCUAGAGCACUUGACGGUACCAGAGGAAUAAGCACCGGCUAACUCCGUGCCAGCAGCCGCGGUAAUACGGAGGGUGCAAGCGUUAUCCGGAUUUACUGGGUUUAAAGGGUGCGUAGGUGGGUAGGUAAGUCAGUGGUGAAAUCUCCGAGCUUAACUCGGAAACUGCCAUUGAUACUCUCUAUCUUGAAUAUCCUGGAGGUGAGCGGAAUAUGUCAUGUAGCGGUGAAAUGCUUAGAUAUGACAUAGAACACCAAUUGCGAAGGCAGCUCACUACGGGAUUAUUGACACUGAGGCACGAAAGCGUGGGGAUCAAACAGGAUUAGAUACCCCAGUAGUC